CAUCGUCAUGUCCAAUGUGGUCCAAUAGAUUUCGAUAGACUACAAUAGCGUGUUUCGGACACCUAUUGUAGUUCAUUCCCCUUACUGACAACCUAAGAUAAUAAAAAGAAGUGAAAAAUAUUAUUUACUGUUAAUUAUAAUAAUAAAUAUAAUUAACUAAAUGGUGAAUGGUAUAGUGUUAACUUGGUUGUAAACGGGAACACGAAUGGGCGCUCAUUUAUCGGGGCGAGCGACGGC
RNAcentral lists this long non-coding RNA (237 nucleotides) under Lathyrus oleraceus (garden pea). Its description in RNAcentral is "Pisum sativum (pea) long non-coding RNA (PSAT_LNC018956)". The record is from RNAcentral. Lineage: Eukaryota; Viridiplantae; Streptophyta; Magnoliopsida; Fabales; Fabaceae.